UAUUAAGCGGAGGAAAAGAAACUAACCAGGAUUUCCUCAGUAGCGGCGAGCGAACAGGAAAGAGCCCAGCACCGAAUCCCGCGGUUCCGCCGCAGGGAAAUGUGGUGUUCGGGAGGGUCCAAAGUUAUCCCGGGUUGCCGUGUCGCGUCCAAGUCCAUCUUGAAUGGGGCCACUUACCCGCAGAGGGUGCCAGGCCCGUAGCGACCGACACGCGCCUCGGGAGGAUCUCUCCUUAGAGUCGGGUUGCUUGAGAGUGCAGCUCUAAGUGGGUGGUAAACUCCAUCUAAGGCUAAAUACGACCACGAGACCGAUAGCGAACAAGUACCGUGAGGGAAAGUUGAAAAGAACUUUGAAGAGGGAGUUCAAGAGUACGUGAAACCGUUCAGGGGUAAACCUAAGAAACCCAAAAGAUCGAACGGGGAGAUUCAUCGUCAGCGGCGUUGGCUUCGAGUCGGUGGGCGAUGUUCCGCGCGUCUACCGCGCGGGCACGCUACCGUGCGCGCAUGUCCGACGUCGUCGUCGUGCACUUCUCCCCUAGUAGAACGUCGCGACCCGCUGGGUGUCGGUCUACGGCCCGGGUGCGGUGCCUGUCGCGUCGCCGGUAAAACGGCACGCGGCAAACCCCCGGCUCGCCCGGCCGGCUGCCCGGCGGUACUCGCACGGUAUCAGGCCGCAGGUCUAUCUGCGUCAAGCCCGUCGCAAGCGCGCGCCACGUUACCCGGAGGCACGGACCUAGCGCCGUCCCCGGUUCUGGCCCGCUGUUGGCCGACGGUGAUCCUUUGACAGGCCUUACGGGGCCCCGAUACCGGUCGGCGACGCUACUGCUUUGGGUACUCUUAGGACCCGUCUUGAAACACGGACCAAGGAGUCUAACAUGUGCGCGAGUCAUUGGGACCAGCAAAACCCAAAGGCGCAAUGAAAGUGAAGAUCGGCCCUGGCGCCGAUCGAGGGAGGAUGGGCCGCGUCGCGAUGCGGCCUCGCACUCCCGGGGCGUCUCGUUCUCAUUGCGAGAAGAGGCGCACCAAGAGCGUACACGUUGGGACCCGAAAGAUGGUGAACUAUGCCUGGUCAGGACGAAGUCAGGGGAAACCCUGAUGGAGGUCCGUAGCGAUUCUGACGUGCAAAUCGAUCGUCGGAACUGGGUAUAGGGGCGAAAGACUAAUCGAACCAUCUAGUAGC
RNAcentral lists this ribosomal RNA (1179 nucleotides) under Platythyrea bicuspis. RNAcentral's name for it is "eukaryotic LSU rRNA". It matches the Rfam family "Eukaryotic large subunit ribosomal RNA", at positions 44 to 951 of the family's 3401-position model. Lineage: Eukaryota; Metazoa; Arthropoda; Insecta; Hymenoptera; Formicidae. The record is from RNAcentral.